Molecule: ribosomal RNA, 760 nt
Filed under: uncultured Inocybe
Lineage: Eukaryota; Fungi; Basidiomycota; Agaricomycetes; Agaricales; Cortinariaceae
Description: partial 28S ribosomal RNA
Rfam family: Eukaryotic large subunit ribosomal RNA
Source: RNAcentral
GAAUCCCGUCUUUGACACGGACUGCCUGUACAUUAUGGUGUGCUCUCGAAGAGUCGAGUUGUUUGGGAAUGCAGCUCAAAAUGGGUGGUAAAUGCCAUCUAAAGCUAAAUAUUGGCGAGAGACCGAUAGCGAACAAGUACCGUGAGGGAAAGAUGAAAAGAACUUUGGAAAGAGAGUUAAACAGUACGUGAAAUUGCUGAAAGGGAAACGCUUGAAGUCAGUCGCGUUGGCUAGAAAUCAACCUUGCUUUUGCUUUGUGUACUUUCUGGUUGACGGGUCAGCAUCAAUUUUGACCACUGGAUAAAGUCUUUGGGAAUGUGGCAUCUUCGGAUGUGUUAUAGCCCAUUGUCGCAUACGGUGGUUGGGAUUGAGGAACUCAGCACGCCGCAAGGCCGGGUUUCGACCACGUUCGUGCUUAGGAUGCUGGCAUAAUGGCUUUAAUCGACCCGUCUUGAAACACGGACCAAGGAGUCUAACAUGCCUGCGAGUGUUUGGGUGGAAAAGCCCAUGCGCGCAAUGAAAGUGAAAGUUGAGAUCCUCUUCAAAGGGGGAGCAUUGACGCCCGGACCAGACCUUUUGUGACGGAUCCGCGGUAGAGCAUGCAUGUUGGGACCCGAAAGAUGGUGAACUAUGCCUGAAUAGGGUGAAGCCAGAGGAAACUCUGGUGGAGGCUCGUAGCGAUUCUGACGUGCAAAUCGAUCGUCAAAUUUGGGUAUAGGGGCGAAAGACUAAUCGAACCAUCUAGUAGCUGGUUCCUGCC